Molecule: ribosomal RNA, 272 nt
Filed under: uncultured bacterium
Lineage: Bacteria
Description: partial 16S ribosomal RNA
Rfam family: Bacterial small subunit ribosomal RNA
Source: RNAcentral
ACACCUACGGGAGGCAGCAGUAGGGAAUCUUCCACAAUGGGCGAAAGCCUGCUGGAUCAACUCCCCCUUUUUGAAGAAGGUCUUCGGAUCGUAAAACCCUGUUGUUAGAGAAGAAAGUGCGUGAGAGUAACUGUUCACGUUUCGACGGUAUCUAACCAGAAAGCCACGGCUAACUACGUGCCAGCAGCCGCGGUAAUACGUAGGUGGCAAGCGUUAUCCGGAUUUAUUGGGCGUAAAGGGAACGCAGGCGGGCUUUUAAGUCUGAUGGGAAA